AACAAUUUGAUCAAAAAUACAAGUAAAUUGAAAAACAAUUGCUUUCCCUCAACUGCUCUCACCUUAUACCAACAAUGUAAACAGAACAAGUAGGACCAAUUUAAUCUCCCACAUCCCCACUAAAUUACUCCAAAUAACAAUUCAAUCAUCUGAGGCCCUAAGCAUCAAUGUUGUUGAAUUUAUCGCAGCUCCGACGAACCUCGCCCUUCUUCCCUGUCUUCACCCCGUAGACACUAAGCUUCUCCAUCACAUGCGCGAAGUCCGCAAAGAACAAUGUCUGGUUUGCUGCAUACUCUUUCACAACUGGGGCAGUGCGGGAGUCGGAUAUUAGGAGAUGGUCGGAGGCGAGGAGGGCGAGGCCCCGCUCGAGGUUCUGGAAAUACAUGUUGUCGAAUUUCCCCGGAGUCAUGACAUCGUUGAAUGUGGCGAUGGUGGUUUCGGUCUUGUAAUUGGCGCAGGCCUUCUGGAGGGCUUGGGCGUAGCGGGGGUCCAUUGAUGGGUCGAAGGAGUUGGCAUCGCCGCCGUUGAAGUAGAAUAUCCGGGAGGCGAACUCCUUGCAGUGGGAGAAGCCGACGGUGUGGGCGCCGUUGAGGGCGACCAUCUCACGGACGGUGAAGCCUUUAGCGGCGAAGGAGGCAAUGAUCUGGUUCAUUGUCAUGUUAGCGCGGGGAAGCUGGUUACCGACGGAGGCGGCGGUGGAGGCGAGGGAGUCUUUGCGGCCGAGGCGGACGGGGUAGUAGGGGCCGCCGAGGGCGGAGACAAGGUCACGGGUGGCGAGAGCCAUGAUGUCGGCGCAGGAGACGACGCCGGGGCAGGUGAGCUCGAGGGCGGCCUUGGCACGGACGACGACGUCGAAGGCGUCACCGGGGAG
This 871-nucleotide unclassified non-coding RNA is filed under the name Hevea brasiliensis (rubber tree). The record is from RNAcentral. Lineage: Eukaryota; Viridiplantae; Streptophyta; Magnoliopsida; Malpighiales; Euphorbiaceae.